UGCGCAACCCGCGCGCCGUCGUCCCUGGCAACACUGGCUGCUCUAGCGCCUGGCGGGGUCUCACGGGCGGGCCUGGGCGCACGGCCAAAGCGCCAGGUCUCCACCCCCAGCCCCCGGCGUCCUGCAGCCGGAGCCUGCCUCGCCUGGCUCCUGCGCCCGCCGUCCAGGGCCCCUGUCCAAGCUCGCGGACGCCGGCGGCGUUUUCCAGCUCGAGUGCUCAGCCUAGGGCAGGCUCUGCGUGCGCCCCCUCGAGUGCCGGCCUGGGCCCUGCCAGGCAGAGGCGCUCUUGCGUCAGGACGGCGCCGCCGGGGCCCCGCGAUUCCAACUCGGGGGUCCCGGAGCGGCGCGGGGCGGGGACGGCCUGGCAGCUCCCAGCAGCGAGGGGCGAUCCCCGCCCGCGCAGCAGACCCCGAGCUGCCCAGGCCCUUCCUGCGCCACGUGUACCCAGAGCUCCGCCCGGGGGAGACUUCGCUGCUUGUUGGAGAUGCCCAGCGGUAGGGGGCGAGGACUCGGGAGGAAGAUAAACGGGGGAUCCCGUGUCUGGACUUUCUCCUCCACCCUCUUCCCUUCGCAGCUGUGAAUCCUGGGAGGGGAAGGGUGGCCGCCCCGCCAGCAGGGUCGAGCCCGCUCUCAUUUGCACCUCCGCGCGAAUUUGGAACGGAUUUAUGAAUCGUCCUCACUGCGGUGCUGUCUUCUCCUGGGAAGGAGCCUCAGUCCUCCCCUCCCUGGGCACUGUCAUAGAGAUGGGCAGGACGGGCUGGGGAGGACACUCAGGGAGCUGCCCAGGCUCCUUUGCUGCCCCUCACCCCAGAAUCUUCUUGGGGUGGGUGGGGUCCCAGGCACCUGCAGAGUAGCAUACGGUGGCUUGUAGAAAGAGUAUCGAGGGAGGGGAGGUGCCACGUGGAAACAGCCCAAGCCAAACCCCUAGGACCUGUCUCCCUGUCCUCCUAGAGAGCUGAAGGUGUUCCGUGGUCAGUGAGGGCUGGCACUGGCUCUGCACGAAGAUCUCCUCACCUCCCCAGCGGCUCCUGGCCAGCUCCCCACGGAGAGCCCAGGACACUUGUCCCUGGACACAGUGGUGCAGCCAUGCUUGGGCCAAACCAUGAGGCCACCAGAACCGCGAAAGGCUACUGUACUGAGAGGGAUACUGCGAGAGAGGCCCACAGGUUUCCAAGCAUCCCUCUCACUCCGCACACUCAUCUCCACGACCGGCUUUAAGUGCGGCCUUGAGGCCUGGCUCCCUGUUUGGACUUCUCUGCACCUCCAGGAGCUCACUUCCCGUCACAGCUGGAUGCCUCCUCCCGCAGGCACCUCCCGGGCAUCCUCCCGCCCCAGGCUGCACCUUCUGUGGGACUGGCCCCCGCAGGCACCUCCCGGGCACCCUCCCGCCCCAGGCUGCAGCUUCUGUGGGACUGAGCCCCGCAGGCACCUCCCCGGCAUCCUCCCGCCCCAGGCUGCACCUUCUGUGGGACUGAGCCCCGCAGGCACUUCCCCGGCAUCCUCCCGCCCCAGGCUGCAGCUUCUGUGGGACUGACCUUAAGACCCCAUCGGUUCCUCCUGAGAGCAGCAGAUCUCAGCCAGAUGCUGCCGGGAGGGAGGUGCUAGCGUCCACACCCAGACGGGUCCAGUCCAGCCCUGCUCUCCCUGGUCUCCAGGCAGGGCCCUCCCAGGGUGGACAUUGCCCAUCUCUGCCUGGCCAGGGGCUGCUGACCCACUGGUUCCAGAGUCUGAGCCUGUCCUGCACAAGUACCAUGGACAGGGGUCAGCCGGGCACUGAAGAGGCGUGGCAGAAUUGGGCAGGGCAAGGGCCCCAGCUGGCAAGCUGGAGUCAGGGCAAUUCCAACCAAGAAACUGCGGCAGGCCGGGUGCAGUGUCUCAAGCCUAUAAUCCCAGCACUUUGGGAGGCAGUGGGAGAAUCGCUUGAGCCCGGGAGUUUGAGACCAGCAUUGGUAACAUAGAGACCCUAUCGCUACAAGAAAAAAAAAAAAAAAAAGCUGGGCAUGGUGGUGCACACCUGUUGUCCCAGCUAUUCAGGAGGCUGACGUGGGAGGAUUGCUUGUGCCCAGGGGUUGCAGGCUGCAGUGAGCUGUGAUCAUACCACUGCACUCCAGCCUGGGCGACAGAGAACCUCUCUAAAAAAAAAGGAAAAUGAAAAAUAAAUGGGGGCAGAAGCUGAGCCAAGCAGAGGCGGGCAGCUCCUCCUCCAGGGCCCACCUGGCCUGCUGGGGA
RNAcentral lists this long non-coding RNA (2229 nucleotides) under Homo sapiens (human). Its description in RNAcentral is "long non-coding RNA NONHSAT175766.1". Lineage: Eukaryota; Metazoa; Chordata; Mammalia; Primates; Hominidae. The record is from RNAcentral.